This 61-nucleotide transfer RNA is filed under the name Grandidierella taihuensis. RNAcentral describes it as "tRNA-Asp". The record is from RNAcentral. Lineage: Eukaryota; Metazoa; Arthropoda; Malacostraca; Amphipoda; Corophiidae.
AAAAACUUAGUUAAUAAAUAAUACUAGUUUGUCAAGCUAGAGUUACAAUAAGUAGUUUUUA